GAGGGGUUUCCUUCAGGAUGCUGAACCAAUCCACUUAUUUAGACAGCUUACAAAUUCAACAUAAAAUGAAACAAGUGGAAGUAACAAUUCUGUAUAUAGAUGAGUAUUAAAUUUACUAAAUACCUCGUUAGUAACGUAUCACUUAAUGAAUACUGGAUAACAGGAUUGUACCACCUCUUUACCUCUUUAGAUUUUGCAAUUGCAAAAUCCAAUUUUACAAAUAAGUCAUGUUCUAUGUGCUGUGUUAUCUUUAUUCAUAUGCUGUAAAUCAAGAAACACAUUCAACUUUGUUAUUUGUAAGAUAUAAUAUCCAAAUGAUAUAACCAUAAAAUAAUUUUAAUAGCUUUUAAUUUUAUUUUAGGAAAAUUUUGGAGAGCAUGUUGCUCUAGCAUGAAACAUUUAUGGCCAUAACAUCUUUAAAUUAUUCUCACAAUCGGGAAAUAAUGGGAUCUGCUUGGAAGAGGUCAGCAGAACUCUUCACUGUGCUUGUCAUCCAUUGGUUUCAGUUAACCGUAGGCUGCAAGACUGGAUAUGCAAAACUACACAAAGGUAACUCAGAAAUAAGGAAGCAGUUCUCAAGCUCAUGUGACUUCUUUUGUCAAGGAAUCAGUCUGAAAUCAUAAAUAAAGUUUGCAAAGCGUGAGUAAGGCUAUAUCUAAUUUAGCAAGUUUGUAAUUCCUUCUCCCUCCCUCUGUCCCUGGCCUCACCUAUCUUCUCCAUUCUUGUCCCGCCACCUUCCCCAGAGAUCAUGACAGCUGUACCUUUUGUGUUUUUUUAAUUGGGGCACAGCCAUUCAUGCAAAGCACUCAAGUGCUUCCCACUCCACCCUGACUUCUUUACAGGAAGAAAGAUAAUUUUAUAUUUAAUAUUCAUCUGGUCCUUUUUGUAAUACUCUGCCUAUUCUGUGUUGCAGAUAAAGAAACAGGAAAAUUGAGAUCUUAUACCCCCAUGCAUUGGACUAGGAGCACUGAAGAUGACACAUUCAUGGAUGAAUGUUAUUUUUCAGCUGCUACUCAAGUAGUUGGUCAGCAAGACAUUGUGAAAGGAGCCCUAGUCUCAGAAUCAGAAGAUGUCAUUUCUGGUCCCCAGUCUGCCAUUAGGUCAUUAUGACUUCAUAAAAGGUCACUGAAAUCUCCGAGUUUAGUUUCUUCCUAAAUAAGAUGUGGAGAUCCAAUAGGAUGUUCAUUGAGGGACAUUCCAGUAUAAACUUUUAUCACUCUGUGUCACGUUUUUCUGAACUACUCCUAUCUUCCUCAAUGUAGAAUUCAUUUGUUAAGUAAACACAGUUGUGUAAAAUGAAUGAACACUUCUCAACUUCCCCUGUUCUCCUGCUAAAAAAGCUUUAACCAGAAGUCUCAAUUCAGGCAUUCUUUGAGAACCAUUGAGCAAAAUGAGUUUUGGGACCUUUUAUUGAGCCUAAGAUUCUAAGAGUUUAAUGUUACAAAAUUUAAAAAUUUACUGAGAGAAAGAAGCAUCCUUGUCAGGUUUCACGCAGGCUCAUGUCCAAUUUCAUUGCCUUCCAAUGGGCAAAUGGUCAACUCAACACAUGUACAUUGCCACUUGUGUAAAGAUGUGCAGUGAACUGCAGUUCUAGGGCAUUCUGUUUGUUUUUCCAAUCUUCUUCCCCUCUCCUCUCUUUAUUUUUCAAGAAAGAAGUAGGUUUAGAAACUUUCAUAAAUGUGCAUUGUAAGUGCAAUAAAAUGCUUAACAGGUUAAAGUUUUAUCUCUUUUUUUUGAAGGAAGAUUAUGAAUAAAAAUGCUGUGUGCUUAUUGAACGGUGAGUACUACUGCUCUUAACAGAAUAAAACUCUUGAAUCAAGAUCUCUUUCCAUUCUUUUCUUUUUCUUCUUUUUUUGAGAUAAAGUCUCACUCUGUUCCCCAGGCUGGAGUGCAGUGGUGUGAUCUCAGCUCACUGGAACCUCUGGUUCGAGUGAUUCUCCCACCUUGGCCUCCCAAGUAGCUGGGAUUACAGGUUAAUUUUUGUAUUUUUAUGGAGAUGGGGUUUGACCAUAUUGGCCAGGCUGGUGUCUAACUCCUGACCUCAGAUAAUCCCCUUCCUUGGCCUCUGAAAAUGCUGGGAUUACAGGCGUCAGAUGUCACACCCAGCCCCCUUUCAAUUCCUACAUGCUGUGAUUAUCUUCUUACAGUGGUGAGUGGGUCUGGGUAACAAAAUUAAAUGCAGAACAGGAUUUCUCAUCAGUAGGGAAAGAAACAGAAUAUUUUUACUUAUAUAUUUAUAGGGUGCUUACAUGUUUUUCAGAGGAAUUAGUAUUUCUUAAAGUGUUAUUAUACUAUUUGACUGGUUAAUAAAUUGGGUAUAGUUUUGGGCACAAGGAUCUAGUAAAUAUAUUGAGAAAAGAUGACAGGAUUCUUUCUUCCUCCACCCCUCUUACAAUCUACAAAGAGAGAAAGGAAUAUGCCUUGCUUUUGAGAUUUCUUUUAAACUGUUGGUGCCCC
Molecule: long non-coding RNA, 2457 nt
Organism: Callithrix jacchus (white-tufted-ear marmoset)
Lineage: Eukaryota; Metazoa; Chordata; Mammalia; Primates; Cebidae
Source: Ensembl